This 120-nucleotide non-coding RNA is filed under the name unclassified sequences. Its description in RNAcentral is "Flavobacterium-1 RNA". It matches the Rfam family "Flavobacterium-1 RNA". The record is from Rfam by way of RNAcentral.
GUACAACCAGCGUCCAAAUCUUGCCUCUGGCAUUUCCCUGUACGUUAGCGAUGACCGCAAGGUAGCAAUGGGUGUACCACCUAUAGCGUCAGAGUUCCCUGAUCAGGAUGGCGCUUAGGU